RNA transcript from Cicer arietinum (chickpea), 2112 nucleotides. RefSeq lists it as uncharacterized. The record is from RefSeq and is a predicted model, not a curated record. Lineage: Eukaryota; Viridiplantae; Streptophyta; Magnoliopsida; Fabales; Fabaceae.
UUUUUUUUUUUAAAAAGGUUUAAAACCCCAAAAAAAAAAAAAAAAAAAAUACAGCCGCAGCUGCUACGGCCUGAAAACUCAAACAAGUUGGAGUGAAAACCUAAAGCUCACCGGAUAACAUAGCCGGCAUCAUCUCCGGCCGCUAGAAACAGUUCAUCCACAUGACACCAUUGUUAGGGCGUGUUAAUAAGUUUGUAUUUUCCUCCCAAAUUGAAGGGUUUCUUUCCCUUAUUAAUUCCAAACAAUAUCUUCAACCAUGGUUUAUUACUGUGCGCAAUUUUAGCUUCAAUGAUGAUCGCGGUGGCGCGCGAGAAUACCCAAGUUUUAAUGACAAUGGUAGUAAUAGGAGUGACAAAGCAUUCGAUAUUCAACAAUCUUCGUCGGAAUCAGGUCCAAGUAGGUCUUUUAGAGGUCAGAAGCAAAUUAAUCAAACUCCUUUGAAUUCCCAAGAAUAUAGUAGAGGUGGUCGUUCUGUUCGUCCGAGAUUUGAUGACAGACGUGGCAGUAAAUCGUCGCAGAUUGAUCUUGGAUUUCAGGGCAGAAAUGUUGCUGAAGUUAGUAGAGAUGCGGGUCAAUUAGGAGAUAGUUUCCUUGAUAAAUUUAAGCUUGGUUUUGAUGAUAAAGUAGGGAAUCACUCGGAGGUUGAAUCAAACGGCCAAACUGAAGGAUCAAGGGCGUCCGAUACUGAUCAACCAGCGCAAGAGCCCAUGCCUCAAGAUGCCGAUGAAAUCUUCAAGAAGAUGAAGGAAACAGGUCUUAUCCCUAAUGCAGUGGCUAUGCUUGAUGGUCUAUGUAAAGAUGGUAAUGUCCAAGAAGCUUUGAAGCUUUUUGGUUUGAUGCGUGAAAAGGGAACGAUUCCAGAGAUUGUCAUUUACACAGCUGUAGUGGAGGGCUAUACAAAGGCUCACAAGGCUGAUGAUGCCAUAAGAAUUUUCAGAAAAAUGCAGAGUAAUGGCAUUUCACCAAAUGCUUACAGUUUUACUGUACUUAUACAAGGACUCUACAAAUGUAGCAGAUUACAGGAUGCUCUUGAAUUUUGCGUGGAGAUGUUAGAAGCAGGUUAUUCUCUAAAUGUGACAACUUUUGUAGGUGUGGUUGAUGGUUUCUGCAAGGAAGAUGGAGUUGAAGAAGCUAAAGGUGUUAUCAAGACAUUAACAGAGAAGGGUUUUGCUUAUGAUGAGAAAGCUGUUCGGGAGUUUUUGGACAAGAAAGCACCAUUUUCACCCUCCAUUUGGGAGGCCGUCUUCGGGAAGAAAGUUUCGCAGAGACCAUUUUAAAUAUAUUUUCAGACUAUAGAUGAAUGUGCAAUAGUAACCCUAAAAUGAGACAGAUCUGUGGCAAAAAAUUUGUAGCAACAAUGUGGAUAAGGUGGAUGAAAGAGGUAGUGUGCAAGUCUCCAAGCCUUGAAACGGUGAAAACAUUUGUUGUCAUUUUAAUGGUUUGGAGAUUAUUGAUCUUUGUUUUGAACAACAUUUUUCACCAGUUUCUGGCUAGAGAUCAUUGGAACCGUUUGGGUAUUUGACUCAAGGGGCCAGCGAAUAGUGGAAAGGCUGGUAUUGGUCGGUGAAGCAAGCUCAUGUCCAUAAACUCGUUUCAAUCAGAUGAUAAAAGUUACAGGGUUAACAAAUAUGUGUAAUUUUUUGUCCACUGCUCUGUCUUGAUUCUUUUUGUGGCAAAUAAGAAUGAUCCAUUUGGUAAUUCUAUAAUAGCGAGGUGGGUUAUCACUUUAGGUUCAAAUAUAUCGUUACAUAUCUGAUAUUGGAAGCUAUAAUACAUUCUGCAUUUGACUCUUGUUAAAUGUAGGUAGCAAAUAUCAGAGGGCAGUGGUUCUUAGCCUUAUAUGCAUGUCAUGCUAGUACUUUUUUUCCUGAUUCAUGGUUACUCAACUCCAUUGGAGCUUUAUAAUAUUUUAGAAGAAACAACUUGAAUCAGUUAUUUGUUUUAGCAUGUAAUCGGAAUUAAAGUUUUGAAAACUCCAUUAGUAUGCCAGAGGAGUCAUGGUCAAGGUACAUAGACGUGUUAGAUUUCAAAAAUACUUGAUCAACUUUGAAACUCCAUUUUAUAUUCUUCAAGCUGUUGAUACUGUUUAUGGUUUUGAUUAUUUUGUUGCUU